Acanthosepion pharaonis is the source of this 98-nucleotide non-coding RNA. NCBI's taxonomy places the organism in Eukaryota, Metazoa, Mollusca, Cephalopoda, Sepiida, Sepiidae. The record is from the annotation of a GenBank genome assembly.
AUAUCAUGUUGAAACACUGGUUCUCAUACGAUCACUAAAGUUAAGCAAUGUCGAACCUGAUCAGUACUUAGAUGGGUGAGUGCUUGGCAAUAACAGGU